UAGAAUAUCUUUAGUCCCACAUUGGAAAGAGAUAAAACUUAAAAGGUCUUUAUGUAGUAUUCAGCCUUUCUAACUUGGUGAAGCAAAGAAAGAAAGUAGCCCACGCGCGCAUGAGCCCAAUGGAGGUCACGUUUAACCGGGCGCGUUGCGAUUAUCACGCGCAGGGGGGACCCCCCGUGGGUGUGGGCUUGAGCCAGGUUUCUUUUUGCCGUUUUAUUUUUUUGAAUUGUUUUGAAUAAAACGUCGCGUCUUUAAAACAGCUCUUUGGUUAUCUCUUGAUAAAACGUCGCGUCUUUAAAAACAUAAAACGAUGUGUCUUUUAAAUACGCCUCUUCAUUUCUUUUUAAACCCUAUCAGAUCCGAUAGAGUUAUCUAAUCUAAUCUAUCCUCUCUCUGUUUCCGAAAGCCUCUCUGUUUCUUGUUCCCGAGAAGAGUCUUCCUGUUUUCUUCUCUGUUGUCAUUCCAAGAGCGCGGUUCUGGGCUGUUCGACCGUCACUUCAUCUGCGAGUGUACGCUU
RNAcentral lists this long non-coding RNA (517 nucleotides) under Phoenix dactylifera (date palm). RNAcentral describes it as "long non-coding RNA (PDAC_LNC022729)". The record is from RNAcentral. Lineage: Eukaryota; Viridiplantae; Streptophyta; Magnoliopsida; Arecales; Arecaceae.